CCUACGGGUGGCAGCAGUGAGGAAUAUUGGUCAAUGGGCGAGAGCCUGAACCAGCCAAGUCGCGUGAGGGAGUACUGCCCUAUGGGUUGUAAACCUCUUUUGUCGGGGAGCAAAAGCCGGACGUGUCCGGCUGUGAGAGUACCCGAAGAAAAAGCAUCGGCUAACUCCGUGCCAGCAGCCGCGGUAAUACGGAGGAUGCGAGCGUUAUCCGGAUUUAUUGGGUUUAAAGGGUGCGCAGGCGGAGUUUUAAGUCAGCGGUAAAAUCGUGGGGCUCAACCCCAUCCAGCCGUUGAAACUGGGGAUCUAGAGUGUGCGAGAGGUAUGCGGAAUGCGUGGUGUAGCGGUGAAAUGCAUAGAUAUCACGCAGAACCCCGAUUGCGAAGGCAGCAUACCGGUGCACAACUGACGCUCAGGCACGAAAGCGUGGGUAUCGAACAGGAUUAGAUACCCGUGUAGUC
RNAcentral lists this ribosomal RNA (458 nucleotides) under uncultured bacterium. RNAcentral describes it as "partial 16S ribosomal RNA". It matches the Rfam family "Bacterial small subunit ribosomal RNA", at positions 338 to 795 of the family's 1533-position model. The record is from RNAcentral.